RNAcentral lists this ribosomal RNA (253 nucleotides) under uncultured bacterium. RNAcentral's name for it is "partial 16S ribosomal RNA". It matches the Rfam family "Bacterial small subunit ribosomal RNA", at positions 524 to 776 of the family's 1533-position model. The record is from RNAcentral.
GACGAACCGUGCAAACGUUAUUCGGAAUCACUGGGCUUAAAGGGCGCGUAGGCGGGCAGGCAAGUCAGGGGUGAAAGCCCACGGCUCAACCGUGGAAGUGCCUUUGAUACUGCCUUUCUCGAGGGAGGUAGGGGCGUGCGGAACUUCCGGUGGAGCGGUGAAAUGCGUAGAUAUCGGAAGGAACACCGGUGGCGAAAGCGGCGCGCUGGACCUCUUCUGACGCUGAGGCGCGAAAGUCAGGGGAGCAAACGGG